Molecule: long non-coding RNA, 1531 nt
Filed under: Macaca fascicularis (crab-eating macaque)
Lineage: Eukaryota; Metazoa; Chordata; Mammalia; Primates; Cercopithecidae
Description: lncRNA (ENSMFAG00000054084.1)
Source: RNAcentral
UUUUUUUUUUUUUUUUUGGUUCCAGAAAAGAUUUUUUGUUAAUUUAAAAACGGGCAGAAAGUAUUCAAGAAAAACAAUGUGAACUGCUUUAGCUUUCUGGGGAUUUUUAAGGAUAGCUUUUCUGCUGAAGCCAAUUUCAAGGGGAAAAGUUAAGCACUCCCACUUUCAGAAAAAAAAAAUAAUAAUAACCCACACACACAAAGAGUGUUGAGGACUUGUAGCUUAAAAAAAAAUAAGUUUUAAAAACUGACUUUCUGUAUUUAUGAUAGAUAUGACCAUUUUUGGUGUUGAGUAGAUUGUUGCAUUGGAAAUGAACUGAAGCAGUAUGGUAGAUUUAAAAGGAAAAAAAAAAAAACCUUUUGUGUACAUUUAGCUUUUUGUAUGGUCCAGCUGACAGCUUCUCAUUUGAUGUUGUCUUGUUCAUUCCUAGCAGAUAGAUUGCAAUCCGUUGAUUCGCCUAAGCUUUUCUCCUGCUUUGUCCCUUAAUUCCACUUUCUCUUUCCUUCUCCCACCUCCCAUCCUAUAAUCUCCCACUUAAGGUAGCUGCCUUCAUUUCUUAGAGGGAGCUGCAGAAUUAUUUUAUAAAACUAAAGAAAGAAUUUCAAGGGAUUCUAGGGGUCAUUAGGAUCCUCACAGAUUAUUUUUGGUUGGGGAGUUGAAACUUUUUAAAGGCAUAUAAUUCUAGUUACCUGUGUCUGUUAGCCUUGUGCAUUUAUUUUUUUAUUUAUCCUUCUUUUGGCCUUUUCUUUGUACCCCUUCUUUUCUUCCUUGUUUGGUAGAUGCUUCAAAUAUUCUUUUCCUUUACUAAAGGAUUUGUUUCCAUUUGUGUAAUUGGCUGUGUACUUUUAUUUUCUAAAAAAGUUUUUGGUUAGGGAUUUGGUUUUUGGUUUUGUGUUUGUUUUUUCUUUCUUCUCUCAGAAAAAAAAAAAAUUCAUGCUUUAAAUAAAAUCCAAAGACACACCCUUUCACUGCUGAUGCAGAAAAAAGGGAAAGGGUUCUUGUUACUUGAGAAUUUGUUUCUGAUUUAAACAAACAAGACUUACUUUAAUAAAAGAAAGAGAAAAACAAAAGAUUCCCAGGUUGUUAUGUGCUUCUUCUGCAAGCAGAGAGGCAACUGUUAAUGACAAUUCCAUAUACCAAAAGACACAUUUUUUACUUCAAAGUUUUGUCCUUGUGUUAGGCAGUCUGAGCGGCGAGUGAUCCGGAGCGCAGCCAACAAAGCAGCAGAUAGCAGUGUACAGAAAGCAAAAAAGGAACCGUAUGUUAGGCACUUGUUUAUGUUAAUAUCCAUAUUCCUGUAACACACACCCUUUCUCAUGUAAAAAAAUAAAAUAAACGGUCUGAACUUUGAAAACUUUGUGCUGCUAAAACAUAGAUUUUGGAGACAAAUAGAUGCUUUGCUGUUUCACUUUCAUAGCUAAACAUCAACAGAAACCAUCUCCCCUUGCCCCCAAAGUGUGAAAACCUUCUCCCCUUCGUUUUCUUCCUUAUGUUUCAAAAGGGAACUUUGAAGACUGUGAAUGCAGGUUCC